Molecule: long non-coding RNA, 617 nt
Filed under: Elaeis guineensis (African oil palm)
Lineage: Eukaryota; Viridiplantae; Streptophyta; Magnoliopsida; Arecales; Arecaceae
Description: long non-coding RNA (EGUI_LNC020109)
Source: RNAcentral
GAGUUGGAGCAGACUUCUUCCAUAUCUAUUCCUCUUUAGGAAUGCGGGUCGACUUCCUUCUUUGACGGAGCCUCAACUUCAGCACCAUGAGAGCAAAAGACAGCAUGUCUCAGCCAAGAGGGUGUGAGGAACUAAGUUCUAAAGAUAAGAAGGUGGGGGAAGAAGCUUUGAGGUGGAGAAGAAGAAGAAAAAUAGAAAUUUUUACUUGGUGAAGAAAGGAUUUUGGGGCUUGAAAGAAGUUUCAAAAUCAAGGGAUUUCAGCACAUAAGAGUUAAUAGAGGAAACAUAUUCCUGAUUCAAGAUGGAAUUCCAAGAAUUUGAGGGAGGUAAAGGCUAGACCCUAGAAUUUUCUAGAGGAAGAGUGGGUUCCAUAGUGAGAAAAUGAAGAAGAGAGGUGGUUUUGGUGAAAAGGGCGGCCCAUGGAGUGCAAAAAUUGGGGUUUUUCCACUAGAAAAAUAGGGCAUCCUAUUUGCCCUAGGGAGAUGACCAAAUUGCCCUUAUGGGGCACUCCUUUCUUAUGGGACAAUCUACAGGUCGCCCCAUUUAGGUAGGUAGGCCAAAACUCAUCCAAAAUUUUUUUUUUUUGAAAAAAAGAGGAAAGAUGGGGAAUUCAAGGA